CGCGGCCUAUCAGCUUGUUGGUGAGGUAAUGGCUCACCAAGGCGACGACGGGUAGCCGGCCUGAGAGGGCGACCGGCCACACUGGGACUGAGACACGGCCCAGACUCCUACGGGAGGCAGCAGUGGGGAAUAUUGGGCAAUGGAGGAAACUCUGACCCAGCGACGCCGCGUGAGGGAUGAAGGCCUUCGGGUUGUAAACCUCUUUCAGUAGGGAAGAAGCGAAAGUGACGGUACCUACAGAAGAAGCACCGGCUAACUAUGUGCCAGCAGCCGCGGUAAUACAUAGGGUGCAAGCGUUGUCCGGAAUUAUUGGGCGUAAAGAGCUCGUAGGUGGUUAGAUACGUCGGAUGUGAAAAUCAGGGGCUCAACCCCUGACCUGCAUUCGAUACGGUCUAGCUAGAGUGUGGUAGGGGAGACUGGAAUUCCUGGUGUAGCGGUGGAAUGCGCAGAUAUCAGGAGGAACACCGAUGGCGAAGGCAGGUCUCUGGGCCAUUACUGACACUGAGGAGCGAAAGCGUGGGGAGCGAACAGGAUUAGAUACCCUGGUGGUCCACGCCGUAAACGGUGGGCGCUAGUUGUGCGAACCUUCCACGGUUUGCGCGACGCAGCUAACGCAUUAAGCGCCCCGCCUGGGGAGUACG
RNAcentral lists this ribosomal RNA (641 nucleotides) under uncultured Actinomycetes bacterium. RNAcentral's name for it is "bacterial SSU rRNA". It matches the Rfam family "Bacterial small subunit ribosomal RNA", at positions 232 to 884 of the family's 1533-position model. Lineage: Bacteria; Bacillati; Actinomycetota; Actinomycetes. The record is from RNAcentral.